GACGAACGCUGGCGGUGUGCUUAACACAUGCAAGUCGAGCGGUAAGGCCCUUUCGGGGGUACACGAGCGGCGAACGGGUGAGUAACACGUGGGUGACCUGCCUUUAGCUCUGGGAUAAGCCUGGGAAACUGCGUCUAAUACCGGAUAUGACCCUAUGGCGCAUGUUGUGGGGUGGAAAGCCUUGUGCGGCUAGGGAUGGGCCCGCGGCCUAUCAGCUUGUUGGUGGGGUGAUGGCCACCAAGGCGACGACGGGUAGCCGGCCUGAGAGGGCGACCGGCCACACUGGGACUGAGACACGGCCCAGACUCCUACGGGAGGCAGCAGUGGGGAAUCUUGCGCAAUGGGCGAAGACCUGACGCAGCGACGCCGCGUGAGGGAUGACGGCCU
This 387-nucleotide ribosomal RNA is filed under the name uncultured bacterium. RNAcentral describes it as "bacterial SSU rRNA". It matches the Rfam family "Bacterial small subunit ribosomal RNA", at positions 28 to 417 of the family's 1533-position model. The record is from RNAcentral.